This 501-nucleotide ribosomal RNA is filed under the name uncultured bacterium. RNAcentral's name for it is "partial 16S ribosomal RNA". It matches the Rfam family "Bacterial small subunit ribosomal RNA", at positions 30 to 523 of the family's 1533-position model. The record is from RNAcentral.
AUUGAACGCUGGCGGCAGGCUUAACACAUGCAAGUCGAGCGGGGGAAGGUAGCUUGCUACCGGACCUAGCGGCGGACGGGUGAGUAAUGCUUAGGAAUCUGCCUAUUAGUGGGGGACAACAUCUCGAAAGGGAUGCUAAUACCGCAUACGUCCUACGGGAGAAAGCAGGGGGUCUUCGGACCUUGCGCUAAUAGAUGAGCCUAAGUCGGAUUAGCUAGUUGGUGGGGUAAAGGCCUACCAAGGCGACGAUCUGUAGCGGGUCUGAGAGGAUGAUCCGCCACGCUGGGACUGAGACACGGCCCGGACUCCUACGGGAGGCAGCAGUGGGGAAUAUUGGACAAUGGGGGGAACCCUGAUCCAGCCAUGCCGCGUGUGUGAAGAAGGCCUUAUGGUUGUAAAGCACUUUAAGCGAGGAGGAGGCUACUCUAGUUAAUACCUAGGGAUAGUGGACGUUACUCGCAGAAUAAGCACCGGCUAACUCUGUGCCAGCCGCCGCCGUAA